Molecule: non-coding RNA, 1123 nt
Organism: Aegilops tauschii subsp. strangulata
Lineage: Eukaryota; Viridiplantae; Streptophyta; Magnoliopsida; Poales; Poaceae
Source: RefSeq, a predicted model, not a curated record
GCCCACGUCUCCUCCAAUCCUCAAAGAAAUUGCACACUGCAUUGUUGCGACCUCCAAUUACUCCCGUAAUGCCCUCGUCUCCCCAAUCCUAAAAUUAAGGAGAUUAAAUCCCAGCGAUGAACCCUUGCCAUCGGUCGCUUCUCUUCCUCUCGUUCAUUCCGCUCUUAUCCCUCUCGAAGCUCAUCACACCGCUGGCCCGCUGCCAACUCCCAGCAUCUCCAAUGUUCGUUCAGUUGGGCGGUGAGUAGGAGCACCGCAAGCUGUGGGCACGGCGGCGACGAGCGCGCGGCCAGGGCCGGAUUACCACCGCGACAACAAGCAGGCAGAUCCAAGAUCGAUGGCUUCUAAUGAAGGAGCAGAAGGUUCAGCUCUGCCUGGUGCGGGCAAUGGAAACUUAGUUGAUCCUUCGUCGCAACAUGCUACACCAAUAUUUCAGGCUACCCUGACAUCUGAAGGUGCUACUCCAACAUCUCAAGUUACAUCCAACAGAACUGGUGGUAAGAGAAAGCGAACAUCGGCAGUAUGGGAUGAGAUGGAAGAGAAAAUAGAAAAUGGACAAUUGAAAGCCGAGUGCAAUUAUUGUUACAAAAAAUUUACUGCAGGACCAAGUGCUGGCACAAAUCACUUGCGUUUGCAUUUGGAAUAUUGUCCUGCUAGGCAUGCACCCAUAGGCCCAAAGCAACAAAAAUUUAGGCUGACAAAAGCCGAAGGUGGCAAAGUGAAUUUAGAAAAUGUCAUUUCUGACCAAGAGAAGGCUAGGAGAGAUCUUGGGUUGAUGAUAUGUGAACAUGAGUAUCCUUUAUCUAUCGUGGAACAUAGUGGUUUUCGUAGAUUUUGUUCUUCUCUACAGCCGUUGUUUAAGAUGGUGUGCAGAAAUACUAUUAGGAAUGAUAUUGUGGCUAUGCAUUCUGCCCAAAGGGAGAAGAUGGUGAAUUUUUUGCAACAUUUAAACACCGAGUGGCUGUCACUACGGAUUUGUGGACAGCAGGCUAUCAAAAGAGAGGUUACAUGGCUGUUACCGCUCACUAUAUUGAUGAUACUUGGAAUCUAAAGAGCUUUUUUAUGAGCUAUAAAAUCUGUACAUAGCACAAUAGUAAUUAUUAUCAAUUAGUCAUUUACCAUA